Molecule: ribosomal RNA, 437 nt
Filed under: uncultured bacterium
Lineage: Bacteria
Description: bacterial SSU rRNA
Rfam family: Bacterial small subunit ribosomal RNA
Source: RNAcentral
GACGAACGCUGGCGGCGCGCCUAACACAUGCAAGUCGAACGAGAGAGAGGGAGCUUGCUUCCUCAAUCGAGUGGCGAACGGGUGAGUAACGCGUGAGGAACCUGCCUCAAAGAGGGGGACAACAGUUGGAAACGACUGCUAAUACCGCAUAAGCCCACGACCCGGCAUCGGGUUGAGGGAAAAGGAGCAAUCCGCUUUGAGAUGGCCUCGCGUCCGAUUAGCUAGUUGGUGAGGUAAUGGCCCACCAAGGCGACGAUCGGUAGCCGGACUGAGAGGUUGAACGGCCACAUUGGGACUGAGACACGGCCCAGACUCCUACGGGAGGCAGCAGUGGGGAAUAUUGCACAAUGGGGGAAACCCUGAUGCAGCGACGCCGCGUGGAGGAAGAAGGUCUUCGGAUUGUAAACUCCUGUUGUUGAGGAAGAUAAUGACGGUAC